Molecule: ribosomal RNA, 402 nt
Filed under: uncultured prokaryote
Description: bacterial SSU rRNA
Rfam family: Bacterial small subunit ribosomal RNA
Source: RNAcentral
UAGGGAAUAUUGGUAAUCUGGGAAACCGGGAACCAGCAACGCCGCGUGCGCGAUGAAGGCCUUCGGGUUGUAAAGCGCUUUUUGAGAGGAUGAGGAAGGACAGUACUCUUAGAAUAAGCCUCGGCUAACUACGUGCCAGCAGCCGCGGUAAAACGUAGGAGGCGAGCGUUAUCCGGAUUUACUGGGCGUAAAGCGUGUGUAGGCGGUUUGAUAAGUUGGAUGUGAAAGCUCCUGGCUUAACUGGGAGAGGUCGUUCAAAACUAUCAGACUUGAGAGUGGUAGAGGGAGGUUGAAUUCCGUAUGUAGUGGUGAAAUGCGUAGAUAUGCGUAGGAACACCAGUGGCGAAAGCGGCGUCCUGGCACAUUUCUGACGCUCAGACCCGAAAGCUAAGGUAGCAAACG